This is a long non-coding RNA of Papaver somniferum (opium poppy), 750 nucleotides long. RefSeq lists it as uncharacterized. The record is from RefSeq and is a predicted model, not a curated record. Lineage: Eukaryota; Viridiplantae; Streptophyta; Magnoliopsida; Ranunculales; Papaveraceae. The transcript has 4 exons.
GCAUACCCGUUGCUGGAUUUCAAAAUCAAACCAAUCACAGUAAUGGUAUUUAAUUUUGUAUUUAGUUUUUGCAUUAGGAUGCUAUUGAUCGUCUCCUAUUUACUUGUGAUAGGAGUGCCCGGAUUACGUUAGGGAACUGAUAAGAAAGACAAGAACCUUAACUGACAAACCAUUUGGAAUUGAUGAAAAAGUUGCAUUACUUCAUGUUUAUUGGGUGAAUUCUCAAAGGGGAUUGUAGAUGAAGCUCACAAAGCAGGGGUCAAGGUGGUUCACCAAGUACUUGGAUAAACUCUUAGCAAUCGGUAUUUUUUCAUUUGGUGUCUCAUUACCAUGCAUAUAUGCUUUUAAUAACAUAUUGGAAGUGUAAAAGAUGCCGAGAAAGCCAUUAGUUCUGGUGUAGAUGGAAUUAUUGUCCAAGGACACGAAGCAGGUGGACAUGUCAUUGGGAAGAUCAUAUAUGUAUUAUGGAGAAGCAUAUGAUGACUGAAGGGCACAAAGGCUACCUUUGACAGUUCCCCCUCUAGUAUUAUUUGUACUCAAGCUUGGUUAUGCUUUUAGAGGUAAUCUAACGUUCAACUGGUCGGGGGAAAUUGAGAUUCAAACAACAACCAUACAUAUAUCACUGACGGAAUAUGUGCGGUUGUUUUGAUUUCUGAUGAAGCUCGCAUUGGAUGGGUAAGUAGACGAAUUAAUGUCCGUGUGUUGUGUAUGUCUAAACCAAUAUGAUUCAGAAACCCAUCCAAUCAAUAU